UACGUAGGGACCAAGCGUUGUUCGGAUUUACUGGGCGUAAAGGGCGCGUAGGCGGCGUGACAAGUCACUUGUGAAAUCUCUGGGCUUAACCCAGAACGGCCAAGUGAAACUGUUGUGCUAGAGUGCGGAAGGGGCAAUCGGAAUUCUCGGUGUAGCGGUGAAAUGCGUAGAUAUCGAGAGGAACACCUGAGGUGAAGACGGGUUGCUGGGCCGACACUGACGCUGAUGCGCGAAAGCCAGGGGAGCAAACGGG
This 253-nucleotide ribosomal RNA is filed under the name uncultured bacterium. RNAcentral's name for it is "partial 16S ribosomal RNA". It matches the Rfam family "Bacterial small subunit ribosomal RNA", at positions 524 to 776 of the family's 1533-position model. The record is from RNAcentral.